Molecule: long non-coding RNA, 384 nt
Organism: Mus caroli (Ryukyu mouse)
Lineage: Eukaryota; Metazoa; Chordata; Mammalia; Rodentia; Muridae
Source: RefSeq, a predicted model, not a curated record
CUGGAAGUCAAGCUGCCUCUGGGAUCCUGAAAUCCUGUGGGACCAUCAAAACAUCAUCCACUUGAAGGGUAUGACUUGUCUGAUGGCUCUCAUACAAUGACACAAUAGUGCACCAUGAGAUAUUUUUAAGAAGUCCAUUCUGGUUGCUACCGUGUUCUUUUCAAUUGGAUCAUUUUGAACAGGAAACCAACUUUAAAAACAAUGCUGUGCAUAGGUAGGUAAGGGCUUAGUAUUUUUUUAUUAGAUUUUGUUUUUGUUGUUGCUAAUAUGGGGAGAGAACAGUGCAGCAGUUGAGAGCUCAAGCUUGUGAGAAUAGUACUUCAUGUCAGCUUCUAGCUCUGCUACUUAAGAAUGAUCUUGUAUUUAAAGCUGACUGUCCCUUAA